RNAcentral lists this unclassified non-coding RNA (374 nucleotides) under uncultured bacterium. Its description in RNAcentral is "contains 16S-23S intergenic spacer region". The record is from RNAcentral.
UCCGGUUUGUCACCGGCAGUCUCCCAUGAGUCCCCGACAUUACUCGCUGGCAACAUGGGACAGGGGUUCCGCUCGUUGCGGGACUUAACCCAACACCUCACGGCACGAGCUGACGACAGCCAUGCACCACCUGUGAAGGUGCCCCGAAGGGAGACCGUGUUUCCACGGCUGUCACCAACAUGUCAAGCCCAGGUAAGGUUCCUCGCGUAUCAUCGAAUUAAACCACAUGCUCCUCCGCUUGUGCGGGCCCCCGUCAAUUCCUUUGAGUUUCAACCUUGCGAUCGUACUCCCCAGGUGGAUUACUUAACGCUUCCGCUAGGACGCGUGCUGUAUAUCGCACACAUCGAGUAAUCAUCGUUUAAGGCGUGGAUUAC